UUCCAAAAGCUCACAAGAUUUGGAUCGGUGGAGUUUCCCACCGAAAAAAGCGGAAGCUUUCAAUCUCGUUUGGCAUGAUAAAGAUCCUCCUCCUCCUAGGACAGAUACAUCUCCGCCUCUUCCCCGAGAACGACGACGUUUUGAAGAGGUUAAGUUUUGCGAGAGAGACGGACGGUGAGGGAUCGCCGCAUGGCGUCCUGACCAAUGAAAAGAGGCUACUUUUACAUCCAUUCUUCCAAUAGAAGAAGACGAAACUCGCAGAAUCUGAGAGAUUGAAAUCAAAAGACGGACAGAAAGGCUCCUGAAUCCGUUCAAAGUUUUAACCUUUCCGGAAAAUUUGGUCAGUCGAAUUCAGAGGGUUAAGCUCCUGAAAUUUUGUUGGGAACAAAGGAAGAAGACAACAAGCCCCUCAAGUUUAUAUACGAACAAGAAGAAUAAUCGGAAAACACAAUUUAGUCAAUUCUUUAAAAACGAAAAAAAAAAAGUUAGUUACCGGAUUUAGCCGGUGGCAAUUUUAUGGAUGGCUCGUGCUAUUUGGGGAAGAGAUCAGAUUUUAGUUAAUCCACGGGUAGAAACGGUAACAGGUGAUUGACCUAAGAAAGUUCGGCUAACUCUGUAACGCGGUUUACUCGGGAGCACGUGCUUUUACUGAGGUCCAAGCGGCCUUCAUCCCGGAUUUUUCUAUUUAUGAUCGGACGGAUCUUAGUGAACCAUGUGUGUUUUUGUUACAACUAGCUUUUAGUAGGCACGUAGGGAGAUUGUUCACGUGCCAUAAAUAAGGUUUGUUGAGAUACUUGUCUUUGCGAGAAUAAGAUCAAUGUAUGUCAGACAGAGAUAUGAAGAGUACUUACUACUAAUUUGGUGGUUUGGAGUACUGUGAAUUUAUAUGAUAAACUAAUAAUACCCACCACAUUGUUUUCACGGCAUUAUUAGUUUUUUCCUUUCAGUGUAUUCGGUAAAAAUGGAAGUAGCACACAAAAAAUAACAUUGUAGUACAGAUUAUGUCAUUGUGAUAAAUGUCUUUUGUAUCAAAAAUGGAAAAUAUUUGAGAAACGGUUUGAAUACAUUUAUAUAUAGAGAGAUUUACAUCCCAAUUUUUUUCCUUUUACCAAAUACAUGCACUAUUGUCAUUUUAGACACACGAUGCAUAGAUCCAUAAUGUAUCUUCAUAUUGAAAGAAGGAGAAAUUGGCUAAUAAGGCCGUAUUCAGACUAGAUUUGUCCGUUUAUACAUUGGGUAUUUGUAAAAUAACCAAAAGAAAAAAAAUAUAGGGAAAACUGUUUUUUUAUAGCAAAAAAAUAGUAACUAUGUCCCUUUAAACUAAUCUAUAUUUUGUGUCAUAUUUUCCUAUAAUACCCUUUAAUAUUUAUGAAAAUAAUUUUAAUAAAUAGUUUUACAAACAAAAAAAAAUUGGAAAAAUAGUAACAUUUGUUAAAAUACAUAUAUGAACUUAAUGGUAUAUUUUCCAGUUAUAAAAAAGUUAAAAUUAUAAAUUUCAGAUUAUGUUCUAAAAAAAGUAGAAAUGACAUUCUACGAAGUAGAAAACGAAAUCUACUUUUUUCAUUGAAUCUACAAUGUUUAGAAUACGUGAUCUACGUAAAUAACCCUUGUCCUAAAACUGAGUCUCCUUGUGUAGAUAAGUGGAACAUCUUGUCAACAGUGCCAUUCACUACAUGCCCUAAACCCAUAUGAUCUUGGCCUGCUUCCUUUGUCCCAGCAGAGCCUGGGGGUGAUUCUGCAAUAGCUAGAUUCGAUGCAAUUGAAUGCACAGUGAAGUUCGCCAAUAGGAUCAUUACAUAAACCAUCAAAGUAGGUGUUUGAGAGAACACGCGCUGGAACAUCCACAGCAAUGAAGCGUGCAUAUCCUUUUUAACCUGCUUAAGAACACCCUCCCUAGUCUGCAACGCAAAGCUGUGCAUCUCCUCGAUCAUGAAGACCAUAGAAGAGAAGGCUUUGUCGAUAGAACAAUAAGUAGACUCUCUAGCUUCUCUAAGCGCCUCUUCUUGUAGCUUCCUCUUAAUCAUUCUAAGGGAGAGAGGCAAAUCAACACUGUUUGCUUUCCGCUCAAUGCUCGAGUGGCUAACCAUCUCCAUCCAGGGAGCUUCCAAAGAAGCUAAACCUGGAACGGACUCAUGUAGUAGUAGCUUCACAUUGCCGAAUCUGUGGUUCCUACGAUCUUUGUUUGUCACCAGGUCUUCUUCUUCGCCUGCAAUCUUGAAUUGUAGGGCUAAUUCUUGCAUCUUCGCCGAGAAUUCUUCGUCGGAGAAGAAACCGGAGCUCGCGCUGCAAACUCUCCGGAGAGGGUAAAGUUUACUCUUGGUGGAGAAUUCCAAAAGCUCACAAGAUUUGGAUCGGUGGAGUUUCCCACCGAAAAAAGCGGAAGCUUUCAAUCUCGUUUGGCAUGAUAAAGAUCCUCCUCCUCCUAGGACAGAUACAUCUCCGCCUCUUCCCCGAGAACGACGACGUUUUGAAGAGGUUAAGUUUUGCGAGAGAGACGGACGGUGAGGGAUCGCCGCAUGGCGUCCUGACCAAUGAAAAGAGGCUACUUUUACAUCCAUUCUUCCAAUAGAAGAAGACGAAACUCGCAGAAUCUGAGAGAUUGAAAUCAAAAGACGGAC
This 2618-nucleotide long non-coding RNA is filed under the name Brassica napus (rape). Its description in RNAcentral is "long non-coding RNA (BNAP_LNC014121)". Lineage: Eukaryota; Viridiplantae; Streptophyta; Magnoliopsida; Brassicales; Brassicaceae. The record is from RNAcentral.